RNAcentral lists this unclassified non-coding RNA (766 nucleotides) under Hevea brasiliensis (rubber tree). The record is from RNAcentral. Lineage: Eukaryota; Viridiplantae; Streptophyta; Magnoliopsida; Malpighiales; Euphorbiaceae.
AUCCAGAAUCAACAGGAGCAACUCUUCCUAUUGCACUCUCACCAAAGUCUGCAAUUAAAGUCUCAAUGUUCUUCUCAGGUUUAUGCAGCACUUUAAAACUUGCUGGCAUCACUCCUUCUCCUAGCUUGAACUGAUCUAUCCUUUUCUCCCAAGACUGGAGGUGAAGAGUUUUCAAGAUAAAAUUCUUGACUACUUCAUGCUCCCCGUUCAUCAAAAAAGCCAAGGCACUUGGGACAAAAUCUCUAACAAAGACCUGAUCAUAGUUGAGUUCUUCCAUAGAAUGGUCCAAUGCAGCAAGAGUUCCAACAGGCUGCCCACGGUGAUAAACCAAGGAACGCCUCAAUGAUUCCCACGCUUCAGCCACCAUAGGAUGUAACUCAAAAUAACAGCCUGACAGUGGCGUAUUAUGACCAGACCUUCUUCCUGCCGGAGACCCAAUCUCAAGAUGGUUUCUGUAACUAAGACGAGGUGAUAAGGUAAUUGACAGUUCACUAUUGAAAGACCUUUCAUCAAAGGAUCUCUUCCUCUCUAUAUUAAUCGGUCUAGGUCUCUCCAACAAUUUUAAAAUAUCAGAAUCUUCAAUUUCAAAUAUAGAGCCUGUUGUCUCCAAGCUUUUAACACUUCCAUUAUUAGAAACAUCGAUGGCAGCAAUUGGAGACAUUCUUGAAAUUCUUGAUCAAAGGAAUCUCACCAAUAUCAGUUUUAAGAGAAGAAAAAUCUAGGAAGCGCCGAGGGCGUGCAAGAACAGACUUACUCUACCUUCGUG